This 468-nucleotide ribosomal RNA is filed under the name uncultured bacterium. RNAcentral describes it as "partial 16S ribosomal RNA". It matches the Rfam family "Bacterial small subunit ribosomal RNA", at positions 28 to 507 of the family's 1533-position model. The record is from RNAcentral.
GACGAACGCUGGCGGCGUGCUUAACACAUGCAAGUCGAACGGAAAGGCCCUGCUUUUGUGGGGUGCUCGAGUGGCGAACGGGUGAGUAACACGUGAGUAACCUGCCCUUGACUUUGGGAUAACUUCAGGAAACUGGGGCUAAUACCGGAUAGGAGCUCCUGCUGCAUGGUGGGGGUUGGAAAGUUUCGGCGGUUGGGGAUGGACUCGCGGCUUAUCAGCUUGUUGGUGGGGUAGUGGCUUACCAAGGCCUUGACGGGUAGCCGGCCUGAGAGGGUGACCGGCCACAUUGGGAAUGAGAUACGGCCCAGACUCCUACGGGAGGCAGCAGUGGGGAAUAUUGCACAAUGGGCGGAAGCCUGAUGCAGCAACGCCGCGUGCGGGAUGACGGCCUUCGGGUUGUAAACCGCUUUCGCCUGUGACGAAGCGUGAGUGACGGUAAUGGGUAAAGAAGCACCGGCUAACUACGUG